RNAcentral lists this ribosomal RNA (781 nucleotides) under uncultured bacterium. RNAcentral describes it as "partial 16S ribosomal RNA". The record is from RNAcentral.
UAUCUAAUCCUGUUCGCUACCCACGCUUUCGCACCUCAGUGUCAGUACAGAUCCAGGAGGCCGCCUUCGCCACUGGUAUUCUUCAUAAUAUCUACGCAUUCCACCGCUACACUAUGAAUUCUACCUCCCUCUAUCGUACUCUAGUGAGUUAGUUUUGGAUGCAGUUCCUAGGUUGAGCCCAGGGCUUUCACAUCCAACUUAACAAACCACCUACGCGCGCUUUACGCCCAGUAAUUCCGAUUAACGCUUGCACCUUCCGUAUUACCGCGGCUGCUGGCACGGAAUUAGCCGGUGCUUAUUCUGCAGGUAACAUCAAGGUUAUAAGGUAUUAGCUUAUAACUUUUUCUCCCUGCUUAAAGUGCUUUACAACCCGAAGGCCUUCUUCACACACGCGGUAUGGCUGGAUCAGGCUUGCGCCCAUUGUCCAAUAUUCCCCACUGCUGCCUCCCGUAGGAGUCUGGGCCGUGUCUCAGUCCCAAUGUGGCUGAUCGUCCUCUCAGACCAGCUAAAGAUCGUUGCCUUGGUGAGCCUUUACCUCACCAACAAGCUAAUCUUACGCAGGCUCAUCUAGUAGCGAAAGCUUCAAAGAGAGGCCUUCUUUCUCCCGAAGGAGGUAUACGGUAUUAAUCCGGGUUUCCCCGGGCUAUCCCCUUCUACUAGGUAGAUUCCUACGCGUUACUCACCCGUCCGCCGCUGUACUCGUAUCCGAAGAUACUUUCUCGCACGACUUGCAUGUGUUAAGCCUACCGCCAGCGUUCAAUCUGAGCCAGGAUCAAACUCU